AGACCCGAAACCCGGUGAUCUAGCCAUGGGCAGGUUGAAGGUUGGGUAACACUAACUGGAGGACCGAACCGACUAAUGUUGAAAAAUUAGCGGAUGACCUGUGGCUGGGGGUGAAAGGCCAAUCAAACCGGGAGAUAGCUGGUUCUCCCCGAAAGCUAUUUAGGUAGCGCCUCGUGAAUUCAUCUCCGGGGGUAGAGCACUGUUUCGGCUAGGGGGCCAUCCCGGCUUACCAACCCGAUGCAAACUGCGAAUACCGGAGAAUGUUAUCACGGGAGACACACGGCGGGUGCUAACGUCCGUCGUGAAGAGGGAAACAACCCAGACCGCCAGCUAAGGUCCCAAAGUCAUGGUUAAGUGGGAAACGAUGUGGGAAGGCCCAGACAGCCAGGAUGUUGGCUUAGAAGCAGCCAUCAUUUAAAGAAAGCGUAAUAGCUCACUGGUCGAGUCGGCCUGCGCGGAAGAUGUAACGGGGCUAAACCAUGCACCGAAGCUGCGGCAGCGACACUGUGUGUUGUUGGGUAGGGGAGCGUUCUGUAAGCCUGUGAAGGUGUGUCGUGAGGCAUGCUGGAGGUAUCAGAAGUGCGAAUGCUGACAUAAGUAACGAUAAAGCGGGUGAAAAGCCCGCUCGCCGGAAGACCAAGGGUUCCUGUCCAACGUUAAUCGGGGCAGGGUGAGUCGACCCCUAAGGCGAGGCCGAAAGGCGUAGUCGAUGGGAAACGGGUUAAUAUUCCCGUACUUGGUGUUACUGCGAAGGGGGGACGGAGAAGGCUAUGUUGGCCGGGCGACGGUUGUCCCGGUUUAAGCGUGUAGGUGUGUGUUCCAGGUAAAUCCGGUUCACUUUAACACUGAGGCGUGACGACGAGGCACUACGGUGCUGAAGCAACAAAUGCCCUGCUUCCAGGAAAAGCCUCUAAGCAUCAGGUAACAUCAAAUCGUACCCCAAACCGACACAGGUGGUCAGGUAGAGAAUACCAAGGCGCUUGAGAGAACUCGGGUGAAGGAACUAGGCAAAAUGGUGCCGUAACUUCGGGAGAAGGCACGCUGACACGUAGGUGAAGUGAUUUACUCAUGGAGCUGAAGUCAGUCGAAGAUACCAGCUGGCUGCAACUGUUUAUUAAAAACACAGCACUGUGCAAACACGAAAGUGGACGUAUACGGUGUGACGCCUGCCCGGUGCCGGAAGGUUAAUUGAUGGGGUCAGCGCAAGCGAAGCUCCUGAUCGAAGCCCCGGUAAACGGCGGCCGUAACUAUAACGGUCCUAAGGUAGCGAAAUUCCUUGUCGGGUAAGUUCCGACCUGCACGAAUGGCGUAAUGAUGGCCAGGCUGUCUCCACCCGAGACUCAGUGAAAUUGAACUCGCUGUGAAGAUGCAGUGUACCCGCGGCAAGACGGAAAGACCCCGUGAACCUUUACUAUAGCUUGACACUGAACAUUGAGCCUUGAUGUGUAGGAUAGGUGGGAGGCUUUGAAGUGUGGACGCCAGUCUGCAUGGAGCCGACCUUGAAAUACCACCCUUUAAUGUUUGAUGUUCUAACGUGGACCCGUUACCCGGGUUGCGGACAGUGUCUGGUGGGUAGUUUGACUGGGGCGGUCUCCUCCUAAAGAGUAACGGAGGAGCACGAAGGUUGGCUAAUCCUGGUCGGACAUCAGGAGGUUAGUGCAAUGGCAUAAGCCAGCUUGACUGCGAGCGUGACGGCGCGAGCAGGUGCGAAAGCAGGUCAUAGUGAUCCGGUGGUUCUGAAUGGAAGGGCCAUCGCUCAACGGAUAAAAGGUACUCCGGGGAUAACAGGCUGAUACCGCCCAAGAGUUCAUAUCGACGGCGGUGUUUGGCACCUCGAUGUCGGCUCAUCACAUCCUGG
Molecule: ribosomal RNA, 1858 nt
Filed under: Salmonella enterica
Lineage: Bacteria; Pseudomonadati; Pseudomonadota; Gammaproteobacteria; Enterobacterales; Enterobacteriaceae
Description: partial 23S ribosomal RNA
Rfam family: Bacterial large subunit ribosomal RNA
Source: RNAcentral